RNAcentral lists this ribosomal RNA (704 nucleotides) under uncultured organism. RNAcentral describes it as "bacterial SSU rRNA". It matches the Rfam family "Bacterial small subunit ribosomal RNA", at positions 92 to 819 of the family's 1533-position model. The record is from RNAcentral.
UCAGCGGCGAACGGGUGAGUACACGUGGGUGACCUUCCCCAAAGACGGGGAUACGCGUGGAAACAGGGGCUAAUACCCGAUGUGCUCAGCAGUUCACUCUGUUGAGUAAAGCUAUGGCGCUUUGGGAUGGGCCCGCGGCCCAUCAGCUAGUUGGUAGGGUAAUGGCCUACCAAGGCUAAGACGGGUAGGGGGCGUGAGAGCGCGAUCCCCCACACUGGCACUGAGACACGGGCCAGACUCCUACGGGAGGCAGCAGUGAGGAAUAUUGCGCAAUGGACGAAAGUCUGACGCANCGACGCCGCGUGGGCGAUGAAGGCCUUCGGGUCGUAAAGCCCUUUUCUGGGGGAAGAGAAAGGACGGUACCCCAGGAAUAAGCCCCGGCUAACUACGUGCCAGCAGCCGCGGUAAAACGUACGGGGCAAGCGUUAUCCGGAUUUACUGGGCGUAAAGAGCGUUGAGGCGGUUUUGUAAGUUGGGCGUGAAAGCCCUGGGCUUAACUCAGGGAAGCCGUUCAAUACUGCGAAACUUGAGGGCAGCAGAGGGAGGUGGAAUUCCCGGAGUAGCGGUGAAAUGCGUAGAUAUCGGGAGGAACACCAGUGGCGAAGGCGGCCUCCUGGGCUGCUCCUGACGCUGAAGGCGACAGCUAGGGGAGCAAACGGGAUUAGACACCCCGGUAGGUCUAGCCGGUAAACGAUGGAUGCUAG